AUUUGAUCUGAAAUCA
This 16-nucleotide ribosomal RNA is filed under the name Mucor plumbeus. RNAcentral describes it as "partial 28S ribosomal RNA". The record is from RNAcentral. Lineage: Eukaryota; Fungi; Mucoromycota; Mucoromycetes; Mucorales; Mucoraceae. RNAcentral also lists the same sequence under 1 other name.